RNAcentral lists this unclassified non-coding RNA (218 nucleotides) under uncultured Gemmatimonadaceae bacterium. RNAcentral describes it as "contains 16S-23S intergenic spacer region". The record is from RNAcentral. Lineage: Bacteria; Pseudomonadati; Gemmatimonadota; Gemmatimonadia; Gemmatimonadales; Gemmatimonadaceae.
UCCGGUUUGGCACCGGCAGUCCUCCCAGAGUCCCCGCCAUGACGCGCUGGCAACUGGGAGCGGGGGUUGCGCUCGUUGCGGGACUUAACCCAACAUCUCACGACACGAGCUGACGACAGCCAUGCAGCACCUGUCUUAGGGCUCCGAAGAGGGGCCGUGGUUUCUCACGGCUUUCCCCAAGAUGUCAAGCCCAGGUAAGGUGGGGAUGACGUGUCCUU